UACAGAGGGUGCGAGCGUUAAUCGGAAUGACUGGGCGUAAAGGGUGCGUAGGUGGUUUGUUAAGUGUGUUGUGAAAUCCCUGGGCUUAACCUGGGAAUGGCAACGCAUACUGACGAGCUAGAGUAGGUGAGAGGCGUGUGGAAUUUCCGGUGUAGCGGUGAAAUGCGUAGAGAUAGGAAAGAACACCAGUGGCGAAGGCGGCUCACUGGCCCGAUACUGACGCUGAGGCACGAAAGCGUGGGGAGCAAACAGG
This 253-nucleotide ribosomal RNA is filed under the name uncultured bacterium. Its description in RNAcentral is "partial 16S ribosomal RNA". It matches the Rfam family "Bacterial small subunit ribosomal RNA", at positions 524 to 776 of the family's 1533-position model. The record is from RNAcentral.